Molecule: ribosomal RNA, 253 nt
Filed under: uncultured bacterium
Lineage: Bacteria
Description: partial 16S ribosomal RNA
Rfam family: Bacterial small subunit ribosomal RNA
Source: RNAcentral
AACGUAGGAGACGAACGUUAUCCGGAGUUACUGGGCGUAAAGGGCGCGUAGGCGGUUGGAUAAGUCAGCUGUGAAAACCACGGGCUUAACUCGUGGCCUGCAGUUGAGACUGUCUGGCUUGAGUGUGGGAGAGGAGAGUGGAAUUCCUGGUGUAGCGGUGAAAUGCGUAGAUAUCAGGAGGAACACCGGUGGCGAAGGCGGCUCUCUGGACCACAACUGACGCUGAGACGCGAAAGCGUGGGGAGCGAACAGG